UUCGGUGACUUCAUUUGGGUUCUCGUCGGCUUGAUCCCUUUUAUUUUUUUGCGCUCUUAACUUGGCUUUGGACCAACCAUCAAGCAACAUUUUUUUUAUCAGGAAAAGGAAUUAAAUAAAAAAGAAAGAAACCGGUACCAGAGGUACCAAAGUACAGAACUAAAAAAAAAAAACACAGAGAGAAGCUGAGGCGUACAGAGGGAAGAAAAGGAACCAAACAAUCCCA
RNAcentral lists this long non-coding RNA (226 nucleotides) under Salvia miltiorrhiza (redroot sage). Its description in RNAcentral is "long non-coding RNA (SMIL_LNC000985)". The record is from RNAcentral. Lineage: Eukaryota; Viridiplantae; Streptophyta; Magnoliopsida; Lamiales; Lamiaceae.